This is a long non-coding RNA of Octopus sinensis (East Asian common octopus), 98 nucleotides long. RefSeq lists it as uncharacterized. The record is from RefSeq and is a predicted model, not a curated record. NCBI's taxonomy places the organism in Eukaryota, Metazoa, Mollusca, Cephalopoda, Octopoda, Octopodidae. The transcript has 3 exons.
GUAAGAAGCUUGCUUCCCAACUACAUGGUUCUGGGUUCAGUCUCACUGCAUGCCAUUUUGGCCAGUGUCUUCUAGUGCAGCCUCAAACUGACCUAGAC